CUACGGGACGCUCCAGUGAGGAAUUUUGCGCAAUGGGGGAAACCCUGACGCAGCAACGCCGCGUGAGCGAAGAAGGCCUUCGGGUCGUAAAGCUCUGUCAAGUGGGAAAAAAAUUCUUUGAUGAACAGUCAAAGGACUUGAUGGUACCACUGGAGGAAGCACCGGCUAAGUCCGUGCCAGCAGCCGCGGUAAUACGGAGGGUGCAAGCGUUGUUCGGAAUUACUGGGCGUAAAGAGCGUGUAGGCGGUUUGACAAGUCAGAUGUGAAAGCCCCGGGCUCAACCCGGGAAGUGCAUUUGAAACUGUUUAACUAGAGUAUGGGAGAGGAGAUUGGAAUUCCUGGUGUAGAGGUGAAAUUCGUAGAUAUCAGGAGGAACACCCGUGGCGAAGGCGAUUCUCUGGACCAAUACUGACGCUGAGACGCGAAAGCGUGGGGAGCAAACAGGAUUAGAUACCCGCGUAGUC
This 464-nucleotide ribosomal RNA is filed under the name uncultured bacterium. Its description in RNAcentral is "partial 16S ribosomal RNA". It matches the Rfam family "Bacterial small subunit ribosomal RNA", at positions 339 to 795 of the family's 1533-position model. The record is from RNAcentral.